AAUAAUAAUUACAUAGACCUAAUCAAGACAGAAAUAUCAGAGUCUACUGUCACUAAAAACAAAAAAAGCAGUAAUUAAUUUACAGAGAUAGAGGAGAUCCGAGAUGCAGCUAACAACCAGCUGAUCGCGAUAAUAUUGAUACUCACUAAAAGAACGUCCUGCUUAAAUAGCUUCUUCGAUAAAGAAUCAAAAUAAUCAAAUAAAAAAGAAAGUUAUCAGUUUACGGAGAUCAUACAACAUACAAAUAUAUAUGGAGCUAUUUGCAGUCUACAUUUGAAGGAAAAGGUGAAAUAAAUGGAGAUGAUACCCACAAAUGAUAAAUGGCUUCUUCACAGCCACCAUGAAUUCAUAAGAAAGCGCAAAGUGAGAGAAAAGAAAAAAAAUGGUCACAGUACAUUUACACCGAAUGAAGUUAUUUGCCGAAUCAAUAUUUCAUAAUAG
Long non-coding RNA from Microplitis demolitor, 441 nucleotides. RefSeq lists it as uncharacterized. The transcript is spliced from 3 exons. The record is from RefSeq and is a predicted model, not a curated record. NCBI's taxonomy places the organism in Eukaryota, Metazoa, Arthropoda, Insecta, Hymenoptera, Braconidae.